AACAUCACGCCGGACGAACGGAUUACAUUGAUGCUGUAAAUUAUAAGGAAUAAUUCCUUUGAUGUUU
RNAcentral lists this transfer RNA (67 nucleotides) under Cocculina subcompressa. Its description in RNAcentral is "tRNA-Ile". Lineage: Eukaryota; Metazoa; Mollusca; Gastropoda; Cocculinidae. The record is from RNAcentral.